This is a long non-coding RNA of Lynx canadensis (Canada lynx), 2241 nucleotides long. RefSeq lists it as uncharacterized. The transcript has 4 exons. The record is from RefSeq and is a predicted model, not a curated record. Lineage: Eukaryota; Metazoa; Chordata; Mammalia; Carnivora; Felidae.
AGAACGGUACUGGAGAGGGAGGGGCAGGCGGGUAUCGCUUCUCGGCCUUUUGGCUAAGAUCAAGUGUAGUAUCUGUUCUUAUCAGUUUAAUAUCUGAUACGUCCUCUAUCCGAGGACAAUAUAUUAAAUGGAUUUUUGGAGCCGGGAGAUGGAAUAGGAGCUUGCUCCGUCCACUCCGCGCAUCGACCCGGUAUUGCAGUACUUCCGGGAACGGUGCACCUCCCUUCCUUUAAGUGGGUUUCUAAAAGCAGAUAUGGUGUUUGGUUUGCGGAGCUGUGUUUCUUUUUAUCUUUGUCUUCCCCGGGCGGAUACGGAUGUGUUCUGCUCGCCCGUCGCGCCUUUUUUUUCUUUCUUUUUCUUGUUCUCCUAGUCGCGGUCUUGUUUUGGCGGCAGGCUUGGUGAGCUGGGGCCGGAAUGCCUGUGAGGGUCAUUGUUUCCGCCUGGCUAAGUUCAGCGCGCUAAGCUUUUCCUGCUCUCCCUUUUUCAUGUUCCCCCUCUCAGGCGCUUCCCCCCCGCCCCCCGCUGGUCUUUUUUCGGUCCAUUCCCCCCCGCUUCCCUUUUCCGGUUUCGCCCCCGGGUGCAGCCUUUUUUUCUUCAACCGCUUUCCGCUGCCGUUUUCCGAUUUCUUCUACCUUUCUCCGGAAGUUUGCACUCGUGCGUAGUCUGGUUCCCGGUGGUGGCCAGCUCUUCUAAACCUUUACCUCUCAAAGAGCUUUGUCCUCCUCCCCGCGCCCGGCCGUUUACGUUGUACACGCCCGCCCCCCCCCCCCCCCCCCCGCCGCCUUGCCAGUCCUUGUGCUUUCUGUCCAGCUAGCUGCAGCUCAUUUCGCUUUUGAAGGUUUAGCUCCUGGCUGUCUCUCUCUGAGACACUUCUGUCAUUCCUGGUUUUGAAGGUCUAAAUAUCCGAAUCCGGCGACAUCCUCCAAAUGCAACGGACUGCUCAUUGGCUGUCCUACCCGGCCUGUGAAAUAAUUGCUUCUCCAGUAUUUCCAAUACAUCUCCAACAGAUUAAGGUCACUCUGUGACCCGUGAUGAAUCAAGACAGAAACAAGGCCACUCCGUAGUCGCCUCCGAACUGAGACAAGAAAAAAGAAGAAUAUCGUCCAAACAACAAAACUGACCAAACACCCCCUAUCCUAGCUAAUAUGAGUAACUGCUGCUACUUUCCCAGUCGCAGUUUUGGCCUCGCUCUAUUCUUCCUUUCUUCUAGGUGUGUUCCUGGUGGUCUUUGGCUGGAUGGCGUUGACAAGUUAUUAAGAGGGUCCACCGAUGGACCCAUAUGGGAACUGCGACAUGGAAUGCGUUUUAUUCUAACAAGCAAAGCCCCCCCCCCCCCCGUUGGAAGACCUGUAAACGAGAAUACAAGUCAUGAAAUACCACUAUUUACAAAUAGAACUGCUCAAAAGAGAAACUAGAAAAAAAAGAGAAAAGGUUGUUGAUCUCAUAACUCCCAGAGCAAGACAGCUUAGUAAAAGGGUAGAGGGAUGGAUAUAUAUGUAUCUGCAUCUGUGUCGGUGUAUGUACAGUACGCAACAGAUCCAUGAUGUUAUGUGGUGGGUGCUCACGGUAGAAAUCUUUCAACGUUGCUGUACGUGCGAAAAGAAAUUUAAGAAGAAAAAAAUGCUGCCAAGAAAAACCUCACAGAGCUAUUUGUCUCGUUCUGGGCUUUCUCCAAGGAAAUGAGACUUGAGGCAGCUUUCCCGCUACAGGCGCGUUUCCCUUUCAAGGCGAGAGAGAGAGAGAGAGAGAGAGAGAGAGAGAGAGAGAGAGAGCGCGAGCGCGCGCGAGCGAGCGCGAGCCGGCGCUGACGGCAGGAAACCAGGAAACGGCGCGUGUGUGGGCGGGACAUGCAAAUUAAAGUGGCUGUUUCUCUGGCGAGCUAUGGGAGCAAAACAAUAAAAAGCGUGAAAGCCCCGAACAAGUUAAGCGAUCUGAUAAACUGAGUAUGUCUUAGGAGUUGUGACGAUGACAGACUGUCCAGUCUAAGGAAAGAGGGUGAGCCUUCGUUUGAGGGUGACUUUUCUCACCGUGAUCCAAAGGAGGAGUGAGAGGGAGGGUGUCGAUGCGCUGGGGAGGACGUGGUUAUCGCUUCUCGGCCUUUUGGCUAAGAUCAAGUGUAGUAUCUGUUCUUAUCAGUUUAAUAUCUGAUACGUCCUCUAUCCGAGGACAAUAUAUUAAAUGGAUUUUUGGAGCCGGGAGAUGGAAUAGGAGCUUGCUCCGUCCACUCCGCGCAUCGACCUG